RNAcentral lists this ribosomal RNA (327 nucleotides) under uncultured eukaryote. Its description in RNAcentral is "partial 18S ribosomal RNA". It matches the Rfam family "Eukaryotic small subunit ribosomal RNA", at positions 1470 to 1796 of the family's 1831-position model. The record is from RNAcentral.
CCCUUAGAUGUUCUGGGCCGCACACGCGCUACACUGAAGGAGGCAGCGUGUACUCCUGGAUCGAAAGAUUUGGGUAACCCGCGAAUCUCCUUCGUGCUAGGGAUUGAGGUUUGCAAUUAUCCUUCAUGAACGAGGAAUUCCCAGUAAGUGCAAGUCAUAAGCUUGCGCUGACUACGUCCCUGCCCUUUGUGCACACCGCCCGUCGCUACUACCGAUUGAAUGAUUUAGUGAGGACUUCGGACUGGGACCGAUGCGGCUUUCGGGCUGCGUCGGUAUUCUGGAAAGAUGUCCAAACUGUAUCAUUUAGAGGAAGUAAAAGUCGUANCA